GAUGAACGCUAGCUACAGGCUUAACACAUGCAAGUCGAGGGGAAACGAUGAGAGAGCUUGCUCUCUUAGUCGUCGACCGGCGCACGGGUGAGUAACGCGUAUCCAACCUGCCUCUGACCAAGGGAUAACCCGUCGAAAGUCGGACUAAUACCUUAUGCAGUCGUCGGAAGUCAUCUGAUGACGACGAAAGAUUUCAUCGGUGAGAGAUGGGGAUGCGUCUGAUUAGCUUGUUGGCGGGGUAACGGCCCACCAAGGCGACGAUCAGUAGGGGUUCUGAGAGGAAGGUCCCCCACAUUGGAACUGAGACACGGUCCAAACUCCUACGGGAGGCAGCAGUGAGGAAUAUUGGUCAAUGGGCGUAAGCCUGAACCAGCCAAGUAGCGUGCAGGAUGACGGCCCUAUGGGUUGUAAACUGCUUUUAUGCGGGGAUAAAGUGAGGGACGCGUCCUUCAUUGCAGGUACCGCAUGAAUAAGGACCGGCUAAUUCCGUG
Molecule: ribosomal RNA, 491 nt
Filed under: uncultured bacterium
Lineage: Bacteria
Description: partial 16S ribosomal RNA
Rfam family: Bacterial small subunit ribosomal RNA
Source: RNAcentral